Molecule: unclassified non-coding RNA, 301 nt
Filed under: Acaulospora sp.
Lineage: Eukaryota; Fungi; Glomeromycota; Glomeromycetes; Diversisporales; Acaulosporaceae
Description: partial internal transcribed spacer 2
Source: RNAcentral
GGGAAGGAAAGAAGAGGGGAAAGGAAAGGGAAGGAGGGGGUAUUCCAAAGAGUAAGCGAGUGUGAGGGUUGUUCCAAUAAAAUCGUUUUUUUAAAAAACGGAUCUGAGUUUUCCAAGGUGUAAUGAUUUUGGUAACAUUAAAUUCAUCUUAACGAUAUCUUUGGUAUGAUAUUGGAAAUGGUUAUAUUCUUACUACUCGUGAGUUUCAUUAACAAUCGGUUACCUGUCGUUAGGUCGUAUCAGUGGCCCAAUCCUUUUGAUUGGAGCGCAUGAUACAAUUUUCUUUCAGAACCUCAAGUCA